GGGAAGAUGGCCGAGCGGUUAUGGCGCUACGUUCAGGUCCUUCGGUAAAAGAAUUUGACGAUUCUGACGAAGAAGAUUCGUAGUAGGGCAACCUGCGUGGGUUCGAGUCCCACUCUUCUCA
This is a transfer RNA of 121 nucleotides. It matches the Rfam family "tRNA". From Rfam's summary of the family: Transfer RNA (tRNA) molecules are approximately 80 nucleotides in length. Their secondary structure includes four short double-helical elements and three loops (D, anti-codon, and T loops). Further hydrogen bonds mediate the characteristic L-shaped molecular structure. tRNAs have two regions of fundamental functional importance: the anti-codon, which is responsible for specific mRNA codon recognition, and the 3' end, to which the tRNAs corresponding amino acid is attached (by aminoacyl-tRNA synthetases). tRNAs cope with the degeneracy of the genetic code in two manners: having more than one tRNA (with a specific anti-codon) for a particular amino acid; and 'wobble' base-pairing, i.e. permitting non-standard base-pairing at the 3rd anti-codon position.